RNAcentral lists this ribosomal RNA (455 nucleotides) under uncultured Rhodoferax sp. Its description in RNAcentral is "bacterial SSU rRNA". It matches the Rfam family "Bacterial small subunit ribosomal RNA", at positions 924 to 1382 of the family's 1533-position model. The record is from RNAcentral. Lineage: Bacteria; Pseudomonadati; Pseudomonadota; Betaproteobacteria; Burkholderiales; Comamonadaceae.
CACAAGCGGUGGAUGAUGUGGUUAAUUCGAUGCAACGCGAAAACCUUACCACCUUUGACAUGUGCGGAACCUUAGAGAUAGAGGGGUGCUCGAAAGAGAGCCGUAACACAGGUGCUGCAUGGCUGUCGUCAGCUCGUGUCGUGAGAUGUUGGGUUAAGUCCCGCAACGAGCGCAACCCUUGUCAUUAGUUGCUACAUUCAGUUGGGCACUCUAAUGAGACUGCCGGUGACAAGCCGGAGGAAGGUGGGGAUGACGUCAAGUCCUCAUGGCCCUUAUAGGUGGGGCUACACACGUCAUACAAUGGCUGGUACAAAGGGUUGCCAACCCGCGAGGGGGAGCCAAUCCCAUAAAACCGAUCGUAGUCCGGAUCGCAGUCUGCAACUCGACUGCGUGAAGUCGGAAUCGCUAGUAAUCGUGAAUCAGAAUGUCCACGGUCCGAAUACGUUCCGGGCCUU